Chiloscyllium plagiosum (whitespotted bambooshark) is the source of this 2556-nucleotide non-coding RNA. Lineage: Eukaryota; Metazoa; Chordata; Chondrichthyes; Orectolobiformes; Hemiscylliidae. The record is from RefSeq and is a predicted model, not a curated record.
ACCGUUUUGCUUUUAUUUCAAUGCAAGCCAAGAAGGAAACACAGACCAACUAAAGUUCAAUUUAAUUUGAAUUAGGAUGGGUGUUGGACGCAAGAGCUGUCUGAGCUGGAGCAGAGAUGAAGAAAACAUUGCAGGGUUUCAUCCAGAGUACUUUGGAACAUGGAAAGGCCCAACGUAUUGCAAGAUGUUAGAAGGAGAGGAUGUACAAAUGGAAAAUCCAAACACCACAUCAGGAUCUAACAGUGAUGCUGGAUUCCUCAGGAUCUGAAUAUCAACAACCUUUGAUCAUGGAAACAGAAAGCACCAUUCACCGUGGGAAGGAACCGUACACUUAUCCUGUGUGUGGAUGAGGCCUCAGUCCAUCAUCUGGAUUGCCAAAACAUAACUGGAGUCACACUGGGGAGAAACCAUGUCAAUGUUGGGGCUGUGAGAAAUUAUUCAGUUAGCCCUGUGAGCUGGAAUGUCAUUGAUGCAGUCAUACAGGGUGUCGUCCCAUUUCCCCCCUCAGUCGAAGCAAAACAUUCAGCAACACAUUAUCAUUUCACCUCCUUUAUCUUUAUUCAGGGCCCUGAAGGGAGAGAGAACAAUCGCCCAUGUUCACAGAGAUGAGUUCACGAUCUUAUCUGAUCUGAUUUAUAUUCAGCUGAAUCUUUUGUUUCACAAAACUCAAAAACUUAACUCUUUCCCUACCUACUUAUACCCUAUACACAUUCUCAAGGGGAGAGGCCAUUCUGCUGCAUUGAAUGUGGUAAAGCAUUUAUUCAUUCAUCCACCCUCCUGACACACCACUGGAGAGAGGCCACUUACCUGUUCCGUGUGUGGGAAGAGAUAAAUGUUUUUAUCGGUGAUGCUGAGAUACCGGCAAGUUCACUAUGAUGAGAGACAGUAUCCAUUGCUCUGACUGGGGUAAGAGUUUUAAAUGUUCAUAUGGACUGAGGGAGCACUAGCGCAUUCCCAUUGGGUACUUCCCAUUCUAAUAUUCUCACUGCAGCAAGAGAUUCAGGCGAUCAUACAGCCUGUUGAUAAAUCAGCAAGUCCACACUGGGGAGAGGCCUUUCACCUGCUUGGUGUGUGGGAAGGAUUUCUUCUAACAUGCUAGUAUACUGGCAGUUGCACACUGGAGAGUGACCUUUCAAAUGCCUAGAUUGCAGGAAGUGCUGUAAAUGUUCUGGGGAUAUGCAUGCCUGUUCACAAUGAUGAGAGACCAUUUAGGUUUGGGCGAUUAUCUGAGCUCUCUGUACACCAGCGGGUCCACACACUGGGGGGAGGCUGUUCACCUGCUCCUCGGAUGGGGAAAGAUUUUCUUGUUCGUGCAACCUUUACAGACACCAGUGUAUUUUCCAAUGACUGCUGGGAUUGGGUUCUGCUGCUAUUGUUAAUCAAAUCCAAGACUGAACCAUGUUGAUACUGACAGUUCCAAUCUGUUUUGAUGAUUUUAAUCAUCUCCAUCCUAGCUCCAGCUGUUAGAAUUCUGGCUAAAUGUCAAGUCUGUCCAAGUCUGUCAAACCUUUCUGCAAUCGCCAAGACAAGGUGGUUCCUUGAAAUAACCUCUCUGUUUCACGACAACCAGCAUGUGCACAGCAAGAUCUCACAAACAUCAGUGAGGUUCAGUCUAACCUCUUCACAUCUUGCUCAGCAAGUUUAGUUACAAUGCAGUUGGAUCUUUCAUCCAUGCCAGUCGUACAGAUUGCAAAUAGUUGAAGUUCCAGGACUGAUCUGCACGAGUUAAAGUUUUCAGGUAUUCCAGGCAAGGAGAGAGAAACUGACAGACACACACACUGAUCAAGCAACAGAGAGCAAUAUAAGGAUAUUUGGAUUUCCUUCAGACAGGAAUCUCACGUCAAAUGUUGGAUCAAGAGCUGUCAUUAAUGCCUGAUUCUCAGGAGCUGAAUAUCACCAGCUUUGAACAUGGAAGGAAAAAGCAUUGUUCAAUGUGAAGAGCAACCAUACGUGUGUUCUGUGCUUGCACAAGGCUUCAGCCAAUCAUCUGGCCUGUCGAGACAUAAAUGCAAUCAAAACAGACAGACAACAAUGACAUAUCAUGGUCAUGGAUCUCAGUUUGAGCUAAGCAAGGGCUUAUUCCCGAAACGUCGAUUCUCCUGUUCCUUUGAUGCUGCCUGACCUGCUGCGUUUUCCAGCAACACAUUUUUAAGCUCUGAUCGCCAGCAUCUGCAGUCCUCACUUUCUCCUAAGCAAGGGCUGCUCAGCUCCUGAUCCCUGUUUUGGUGCAAACAUGGACAAAGGAUCUCAAUUUCAAAUGUGAUGGUGACUGUCCUUGAAAUUAAGGACCCAUUCGAUAGAGUAUUGUAUCAAGGCAUUGUAGCAAAACUUGAGAUAACAACCAUCUGCGAAUGCUAUUCUCCCCAUGAUAGCAAAUGCUUGCAAAGCUCGAGGAAUCAGACCUGAGUAGAUUAUCACAAGAGAAUCUAUUCGAGCUUGUACAACAGAUGUGUGGAAGAGGUCUCUCAGUCAAGCUUAGCGAUACUCUGCCAUUUACAGUUCAAAACAGCACAUUUUGUGUCACAACAGUUAUAUGCAAUAUUGGUAUAAAAUAAA